Molecule: ribosomal RNA, 497 nt
Filed under: uncultured bacterium
Lineage: Bacteria
Description: partial 16S ribosomal RNA
Rfam family: Bacterial small subunit ribosomal RNA
Source: RNAcentral
GAUGAACGCUGGCGGCGUGCCUAAUACAUGCAAGUCGAGCGAACAGACGAGGAGCUUGCUCCUCUGACGUUAGCGGCGGACGGGUGAGUAACACGUGGAUAACCUACCUAUAAGACUGGGAUAACUUCGGGAAACCGGAGCUAAUACCGGAUAAUAUAUUGAACCGCAUGGUUCAAUAGUGAAAGACGGUUUUGCUGUCACUUAUAGAUGGAUCCGCGCCGCAUUAGCUAGUUGGUAAGGUAACGGCUUACCAAGGUGACGAUGCGUAGCCGACCUGAGAGGGUGAUCGGCCACACUGGAACUGAGACACGGUCCAGACUCCUACGGGAGGCAGCAGUAGGGAAUCUUCCGCAAUGGGCGAAAGCUUGACGGAGCAACGCCGCGUGAGUGAUGAAGGUCUUCGGAUCGUAAAACUCUGUUAUUAGGGAAGAACAAAUGUGUAAGUAACUAUGCACGUCUUGACGGUACCUAAUCAGAAAGCCACGGCUAACUACGUG